CUCAGAAAGAGCAGCAGAUGAGCCAUGCCUAUCACAAUGGCUAUGGCAUGUCUAUUUCUGCCACCAACUCCUCUCCUUUCCAUUACCACCACCAAAUGUCCUCGCUCUUCUCUUUUUACUACCCAGAAGGUAGCUUUGCCCGUCACCUCCUCUUCUACUCCUCUCAGACCAAAAAUAGCCUUCCAUUUCCACAAAAUUCUCCAAAGGAAAACCCAUGUAUGGAGAAUAUAUGCCGCCCCCGAGGAGGCCUUGCCUUCAGACACAAUAACUCCUCUUGAAAGCUCCCAGCGGAUAGUGUCCUCUACUGAUGAUGGAACCGCCAGCAUCAUAUCGGCUCUUCUCUUUGUUGCCUUCGUUGUUUUAUCCGUUCUCACCAUUGGGGUAAAUUCUAAAUUCAAUUCUCAAAGUCACGGUGUUUUCACGAUUAAAAGGACAAUGAAUUCCUUGUGAGGUGAAAUCUUGGGACGUGCGUUAUUGAGUUUAUGCUUAGAUUGAUAGCUUCGAUGUGAGUUGUUUUUGUAAAUUGAGAAUCUUGGUUUGCAGGUAAUAUAUUUGGGAGUGACUGAUUUCUUGGAAAAGAGGCAGACAGAGAAGUUUGAGAAAGAAGAAACGGCCAAGAAGAAUAAGAAUGGGAAGAAAAUAAAGGUGAGAGCAAGGGCAGGGCCGAGGGGAUUUGGACAGAAGAUUAAUGAGGAUGAUGAUGAUGAUGAUUAGCAUAUGCAGAUGUAUAAUGUAACCUCUACUUUUCGGCAUUUUCAAGAGAUGUUCUUUUUCUUGAUUCUUUCUUAUCGUGGUUAAUUUUGAGAAGCCUUAAUACAAGGCUUCCCUCCAUCUAGAACUCAAAAAACUAAAUAUGAGAUCCAAAAUUAUUUACGUUUUUAAUCAGGAAAUUCAUUGCAGGUUCAAAAUCAACAAAAAUUCUAGAGCAUAACUGUGAAAAGUUUGAUAAAGAAGCCUGUAUUUGCAGAGGAUGGGAGAUGCAUUCUAUUUACAGGUUUGAAUGGAGGCAUCCGACUUGCGAGUUGAAUUGAAACCAAGCAUUCGAGCUUUGAUUAAAAAUAACUUCUGCAAAUUUAUCCAGUGGUUCAACUUGCACCAAUCAUGGCUUUUGCUUUUUGAUGCUAAAGAGUAUUCAGAAACAUGGAGGAGACAUUAAA
Molecule: unclassified non-coding RNA, 1157 nt
Filed under: Hevea brasiliensis (rubber tree)
Lineage: Eukaryota; Viridiplantae; Streptophyta; Magnoliopsida; Malpighiales; Euphorbiaceae
Source: RNAcentral